This is a long non-coding RNA of Topomyia yanbarensis, 3095 nucleotides long. RefSeq lists it as uncharacterized. The record is from RefSeq and is a predicted model, not a curated record. Lineage: Eukaryota; Metazoa; Arthropoda; Insecta; Diptera; Culicidae. The transcript is spliced from 4 exons.
AUUCUGAUUUUUAUAAUGUACAUAAUUUAUCCUGUUUUAGAAUUUCGUUCAGUUUUUGAAUUUACAAAUUAUUGAAUAUAUUAUUCCUCAGUUGUGCUUAAUAACGCUAGUAACAGUGACGUAGUGCUCUGCCAAUGAUGUUAUGCAGCAAAGCUAGCGUUGUGUGGCUGGACCACAUAGUCGCAGCGAAGGAUACCAAGCUGCACUAAGCCGCUGACGGUCCUGAAGAGGUGUUAUCAAACCCGCCGGCGGAUGUCCAAACCAACCUGUGAUUCACUUAUUUGUCCGGUUUACUCCACAGUUUAUAGAGAACAAUUGCGCAAAGAGUGAAGACAAAAAAGACUACCUAUCGUGCACAAUUGGAAUCCGUCUUUGUAGCAAUUUUGCUCGAUAAGUAGACUUUUUUGGCUUCACUCUCUGCACACUCUUUGCGCCCCUUUAUACCCACUAAGACGUCCAAAAAGCUGUUGCAAACCCGUUCAACACGGGUCCAACGAUGGACGUUUGUUGAACGGUUAUUUGGACGUUGUACAAAUUGGUCCAACGAACGUCCUUUAUUGGACGAUUUUGAAACCAACCGUUCUUAUAGGGUACUAACGCCUUCGGUUUAUUCAAAUAUACUCAGUCAAACCGAUUCCGAAACCGGUUCGGUAUCUUGAAUGAAUUCAAUAAGGAUUUCGACUUAGCUCAAAUGCAAUAACCUAUUCUGACUCAGUAGGUUUCGGAAUCGGUUGUUGCCUUUCAACUGGAUUCCAUAUUGAAUUCAUUCAGGAUUCCGAAUCAAAUUGCGAAUGGUUUGACCAGGUACCGGGUAAGCCGACUGAGCGGUAUCGAUUUGAUCUGCAGUAACUUGGUAUCCACAAAAACGCACUGUGAUUGUGCCUAAGCAUAUCAUUUAUACAAAAUAUCAAAGUACUACAUCCGUAGCAACGUUACAUUGCAUUUAUGUGCGUUAUCCAUCUUCACUGCCGCUUAGUCGGGUUUAAACUAGCCAUAACCCAUGUUUGAGUAAACCAGACGAACGAAUGGAUCACAGAUUUGAUUGCACUUCCGACGGAUGAUUUACAAACACGUUCUCCAGCGGAAACUUGGCCGCAGCUGUGUGGCCAAGCUGCAUCACACUAACUUUGCUGCAUAACAUCACUUGGCAGAGCAUUGUAUAACUGUUACUAAUGUUAAUAAGUACAACUGAAAAAUCAAACAAUUAAACAACUAGAAAAUUCAAAAACUGCAGUCCAAAAUUCCGAAACAAAUUAUGCAGAAAUUAUCCACACAAAUCCAGAAAUACAAAACUUUAAGAAUUUUUUUUUCAGAUUAACUAAUAUUAAAUGUACUUUGUAAAACAUUUUCAAUUUUUCCUGAAUAAUAUUUCUAAGUCGAUGAAAGGAGUAUGAGCUGUCAUUAAACGUCAAAUUUUGACGUUUACAGACAGCUUUUACAUGUUUCAUCGAUUUAGAACAACUUUGAAUUAUUUGUUACUCUAUGGGAGGCGGGAUGCCCCACCCGAAGGUACCAUCCGCCGGCAGGCAUGCUGGCGACCGGAUGGCGUGCGAACGGCAGGCAAAAGGCAUGCGAAUGGCGGGGCUAAUAUUCAUUGCAAAGAACGCAGCCAUCCGCCUGGUUGUUGCAUCUGAGCCUGCAUUUCGUUCGCCCGUCACUUGUCGGCAUGUAUUGAGGCGAUCGGUGUUGGCAGGUGGGGCAUCUCGCCUCCGGUUAGCUAUCCAUCUGCCGUGGUAAUGUGGGUAAGAUAGAAAUACCAACGACACGACUAGACACUUGAAUUCAAAACUGUAUCGCAAAUAUGACUACCCCUCAGUGACUCAGGUAACUGGAAAAGUCAAAUUUGACAUUUGUUUUAAAAAUGUAUGAAACUAGCAACAUUGACGAAAAUGUUUUUUAAAAUGGCCGUUGUUAUUGGUACAACCCCUAGUUACGCAGUGGAAAAAAUGUGACAAUAAAACAAACCGAUAGCAAUAUGCACAACAGUGUAUCGUGAUAGCAACUUGGAUUCUCUGUGCUAGUAGACAGUUCUUAAUUCUAGGAACCAACCCGUUUGUAUCCCUGCGCCCUUAAAUUGCAAUCAUUAUGCUCCUGUAUCAUAUAAAGGAAGUGCUUUUUAAAUUACAUCGGGAUGAUGUAGCAAGAAUAGUAGCUCUAGUGGUUAUGCUCUUUCCGUUGUUACUGGAUUUAAUAUUAGCUCCAUACUAGGUCUCAUUAUUCUAUUGUUUUUCAUCAAUGGUCGUUCUACGGUAGUAUUUACACUUAAUCACAAGGAAAUUGGAGGGGCGGUACCUAAAAAAGGUGAAGGAUUUUUCGGCUGUAAACAUUAUGACCUCCGCACAGCUUUGCAGUGUGAUGUUUGUGGACAAGAAAAAUGCCCAUGCCACAACCGCAAUGUGUAGGUUCACGAACCAUAGAAAGAGCUUCUAAUUGAUCGCUCGCUGGAUGACACGGUGAAUAAAUUUUUCAUCUACUUUUGGACGGUUUCAUAAGCAAUUGGUACUCGCAGAUAGCUCCUGAGUGGAGUACAUUCUCAAUAUCACAAGCAACGUGAGGGAUGCUCUGUACCUUUUGUAGCUAGAGCCUCAUAAACAGGGAAUUGUGCGAGCCUGGUGUACGAUUUUUUCAGAUUUCCCAUGAUGAUAAGAGGAUGUGCGGAUGUUGGUGAAAAAUUAGAGGCUGUGAUUGGAAAGCUCGCGGAUUUCCAGUAAGUCGAAAAAAACCCAAGGAAGUUCUGGACUAUUUCAACGACACUUUCAUCCCGUCAGAUCUAGACAGUGGAAUCAACUUAGCUUUAAUAUCAGCUUCAUAUUUUAGGCUGAACUUAAUAUGUACGAACUAUGAAAUUUCAUUCGAUCUAGUACCAGUAAGGGGCCGCACACUAAUUACGUAAGGCUUUUUUAGAGCUUUUCAACCUCCCCCUCCCCCCAGAUAAGAGUUCGUAAGAUUUUGGUGAGCUCCCCCUCCCCCUACAUAAGAUCUUAUCAUGAUUAUCGUAAUUAAAAAAUCGAAUUGUUAAUUCAUCAAAUUUAUUAUAGCGAAAACGAUAUGUAUAGAAUUAUUACAAGAAAACUCAUGACAAAAUUUAACUGUAA